UUUGACUGAACAAAAUGUUCUGGCAGAAAAAUAAAUCAGACUUUUUGUCACAUCUUCAGCGCUCUAAACGCAGGUUUGUUUUGAAUUUGACCCAGAUUAUAUCGCUGCUGUUACUCUUUCCUUUUUUAGUCCUUCCUCUUUAGUGCUUUUUUGAGUUCUUCUCUCCUCUUCUCCCACUUCUCUGCCCUCCCCACCUUCUCCUCACAGUCCCCUUUCAUCCUCAGGUGAGGGUCUUACCCACACCCCCUUCUUUCCAGUUCACCUACCUGGGGUUGUACUUGGAGAACAAACUGGACUGGUCUAAGAACUUUUAAGCUGUCUACAAGAAGGUCAUCAGCCGUCUCUACGUCCUCCGGAGUCUGACGUCCUUCAACAUCUGCAGGAUGAUGCUGACUGAGGAUGCUCUUUGAGUCUGUGGGGUCCAGUGUGAUCCUGUUUGCUGUUGUGUGCAGGGGCAGUAGACUGAGAGUAGCUGGACUCUCUGAUGGUGGUGACAGAGUGGAGGAUGUAAUCUUGUACAGCAUCUACCACCCAACUCUUCCCUCUGAGUGUCCCUGGAUUUAUUAAGCUUUUCCACAACAUAUAAUCAUAUUUAACUGUGCAAUCUGUUUGUGAACUGGUCAAACUUUGAAUCAUCUAAGAGUGCAAUACUUAUAAUGCAUUGUUUAUUAAGCUAAUAAAUGCUGCACUGCUACACCAUCAAAAUCCGAAACCAGCACUUAAGGGUAGGAGACAGAUCUAAAGUGGGGCUUAUCCUGUGAACUAGGAUCCUUUUAUUCAUUCAUUCAGGUACUAUAGGUACUACUGUUGCAUAUCUAGAAGUACGCAGGAGUGCAUAGUUGACAUCCAGUGAUUCCUGGUUAACGCAACAGCAUUAGGACUUUUCAGGGGUUUCAGUUUGGUUUGUUUCUUUGAUUUAGUUUCUUCCCCCUGUUCUCGCCCUUCAAAAUAAAAGCUCUGCCAACUUCUGUGAUGCAGUCUGACCGGCUGCACCUUAUCUCAGAGCUAAAACUCAAAGUAGACUUUAGUGAUAUGUUGCCUCAGUUUGGCUUAUCACUUUUCAAAUGUCACCAGAGCCAUCCUGGAGAUUUUCAAAAUGAAAUGCGCCAUGGUGGUGUCAUCAGUUAUACCCUUACUUCACCGCCAUUAACACCUUAAAGUUCACAGACACUAUUUGUUCAAUUUUUAUUUACAUUUUUCACUUUUUUUCAACUGUGUUUCAAGUGUUUUUGUGUGCAAAAUAAAGUAAACUUGGUCACGACUUUGUUAUAACCUGUUCUGUGUUUACAGAGUAAUUCUGGGUAAAGACUCUCAGGAUGAGUUUGUCUCACCCUAGUUGGUCAGCGCUCUCUCUCUCUCUCUCUCUCUCUCUCUCUCUCUUCCUUCUCCUCUUCUCUCUCUCUCUCUGUCGGUAUUGUUGCUGCUGCUGCUUGUUGUGCUCUGCUGGGACAGUUUGGGUGCUGCUUGGGACGCAAUGAACCCGCUCCAUCAAUAAUGCAGAAUGUUUCCGUGGUAACUGCCUGGCAACCGCCUGCAUCCCGUACGGGAGAAAGAGCGAGGAUGAAUGAGAGAGGAAAAACGAGAAGGCAGUGAGAAAGAUGAGAGGAGGAAGAGAGGAACAAGUGAGAAAAAGAGUUUAAGAAGGAACUGGAGAUGGACGAUGGUUAGAAAGUGUGUGAAGUACGGAGGGAAAAUGUGAAAAAGAGGAGUGAGGGAGAGAUAAAGUUAAAAACUGUUGGAGCUACUACAUGAAAAACACGAAUGUCCGUUUUAAUUCCUGCUUAAUUCCUAAUUCCUGCUUCAUGUAGACUUGAUGAGUGGUUCAACAUUCCCAAAAAUGACACCUUUGCUCCCUUCCUUGAAUCCAUUUUUGCACGUUAUUUCUAACUUGGCGGCACUGGGCUUUCAAAACAAACUUUUUUGGAUGUGUGGCACAAUUAAAGCUCCUGUAAGGGUUUUUAGCUCGCAGUUAAAAAAGAUUGAAAUUGAUACAGAUUGUGUUUUUAUGACUCAGAAAAGUGUAGAGGACCAUUUCCAGGAAGGAUGACAAUUGCUGGUCAGCUAUUUUUAAUGUCUGAAACAGUUGGUGGGGGGUCGGUGUCAGACGAAGUGGUGUACUUCAUACUGCAAAUACAGCCUCCAUUUAUAUUUGAUAAUAACUGAUUCAUGGGACUGUUACAAGAGAAAAGGAAAUCAAUCAAUCAAUCUUUCUCUGUUGUCCUCAGACGAGCUUCCAUCGGAGUCUCCAAUCCUCCCGAUUCUCCAUACUCCAGCUCCGAAGAGCUUUCAGCUCCACAUACGUAAGCGCUGAAUGUCCUCGCGAACGGUGCCCGUGUGUUGGUUCCUGCUGGCCGGGAGCUCCUGAUGUCUGUGGCAGUGGCCGGCCAGCCACAUCCUCCAAGAUGCUACGUUCUCGCCCGUACAGGUCCUUGUUGGUAAUGUGGAUGUUCUGGUCCACGUUCAGCACAGCUCGUAGCAUUCUGGUGUAGCACCCAUCCAAGGACUUCUGCAGGGUGGGUGUCAGGGUCCAGCUUUCGCAGCCGUACAGGAGGACGGACUCCACAGUGUCAUGGAAUAGGUUCAGCUUUAUGUGUCUGGAGAGAUUCGAGCACCACACUCUCAACAUACCGUUCAGGGCCCUCCACGCUAGUGCCUUCCUGACCAUACGGACCUGUUCUGUGGAGUCGACCCAGGAACUCAAGUAUUUAAAGUCAUCGACCUCUCGCAGAGCAUUGCCAUCUGACGUUGUAAUCUGCGGAUGGUCCACGUGGGAGUUACAGGUAAUUACCUCCAUCUUCUUCGCAUUCAGUCAGAGGCCAACCUCAGCAACCUAAUCAGUCUUUAUUUAUACGGCACUUUUCAUACACAACCAUGUAGCACAAAGUGCUUUACACAGAAAAGGGAAUAAAAGAAACAAAGAAUACCCAAAUCUACCCCAGCCCAACCCCUCAUUCCCACGAUCUAACUGCAACAGAAACAGUAUUAAAAUGCAUAAACUUGAAAAGGCUUGAUUUCAUGGAAACAGGAAUAUGCACACUGAGGAAACAUCAUUUUAAAACUCGAGAUAAGGAAACACUCGAGGUUUAGAUUAAAAUCUAAAAACAAAGAAACAUAGAAUGAAAUUGAAGAAAUAAUCAAAGUCAAAGAUACUAAAAUAAGAGCACCAAAAUAGCUCAUUAAAAGAUGAUCCUGUCGUUAAAACUCAAAUUGAUGAAUGCUAAAACACUUAAAGUUAAUGAUGUAAAAUUUAGUUAAAUGACAAACUAAUUACAGAUGUAAAUUGAAAAAAUCAGCAAAGAUCUCUUUGUCCACAGGGGGCACCAGAAUCAACAUAGACAAAAAGGCUGCUGUAUGUGACCAUUUGGUCUGAAACGCAGUUCCUAAGACCUGUUUCAGCCAAACGGCAGCAAAGAGACCCUACAGGCAGACUUUGAAGGAGUAAAACAAGUGUCUUCGUUGUUUGUUUGUGUAUAAGUGUGUGUGUUUUGUGACCGUAUAGGCGCGCCGUGUCCGUCCUGCAGGCCAGCAGUCGGUGAAGAGAUUCAGCGUGUGUUUAAAACAUUCAUCACCCCCCUCCUCUCCUCGUUUGUAGCAGUGAAUUAUUAAACGCUCACCUAUUUUUCAAUUAUUCAAAUGGGAGAUCUCUCACUUUUUUGUUGUUAAUCUGGGCUUUUACCGGCACUUUAACAUUCCUUUUAAUCUGCGUGAGUUUUCACUUCGGCCCGUCACUUUACUUUUGGCUCUUUAAUAUCUGAUUUUAGGGAAAUUUUCACAGAGAAAAAGGAAAAUUCAGGUUUUUAAAAGUUCAGGGUUUUGUGUUAUGGCAGGGGCCCGUCCCCCAAUCUCUCUUAUUGGGUCUUCUUAGUCUCUUCCUGUCUCUGGUGGGAUGCUGCAUUGGACGGGGUUUCCUCUCUCCCUCUCUAAAACAUGAUUAAUACUUGAUGCUGCCAUGAUAGCUAUCCCUUGUACGUUAGCAUUCGGUGGAUGCUCCAGACUGUGGGGAGAUGUCGCUCUUUGUGAGUCCGUGUCAGAGUGUGUGUGUGUGUGUGUGUGUGUGUGUGUGCAGGGGUUCUUACAACUUUGUCUGGGUGAUUAAGGCCACAUGUUAUUGAUUGGCAGACCCCUUGAAGUGCAACAUGAUCAUAAAUAAUUCUCCUGCCUCGCAGAAUAAACUAUCACCUUUGUCGGCCGCACUGACAGCCUCCCAUUGAAGACCAAAUGCAUUUUUUAUGUUUUUACUUGACCUUAAUUUAAGUUGUACAAGAGCGAUUUCUUAUUUACGAGCUCUGGAGGAAAUCAACAGAUGUGCAAACCGUUUAGGGCGCUCAGUUCAAAUAUGGAUGAAUACAGCAGGAAAUAUUUGGUAUUAUUGGUCUGUGUGAUUUUAGCAGUCUUAUAUUUGCUAACUCACAUUUUAUUCAGGAAUAAAUCCACUGCAGCUUUGAUACUUUCUCCUUUUUACUAAGAGAUAAAGACUUUCAUUUCUCAAAUGCACAGAUCACAGCAGAGGGAAACUUCUCAUGGAUUCUGUUUUAACUUGCAGAGCCGUCCUUUCUCGUUCACUCAGUCACCUUUCAAACAGGAAUCCUCUGUUUCAGAAAGCACCGAUUUAUACCUCAUCCUCAACAGGAAAGUCUGUCACAAAUUCUCUGAUAUUUCUGUUGAAAAUGUUGAGGUGUACACCCUCUCUGCAGACUCUCACUCUGCAGUGCACACCCCACUGUAGAGUCCAGCUGUCGGCUUUUUCCCUUAAUACUGAAUAGUUAGACAUACUGAUUCAGAAGUGUCUCUGCAGGUGGUUUAGUGUUUACCGAACAACUACUAAUAGAGUAACAUGUUGCACCUUAGGUUUUGUAAGCAACAUUGUAUUAUUGUGCAUAUGCUGUUUGCAAAUUAAUCCUGCAGACUCAGAUAUUCCUAACUGACCUGCAGUCACUAACCCUACCCCCAACCCUAACCCUAAUCUCAACCCUAACCCUAGCCAAAACCUUAACCCUAGCCCCAACCUAGCUAGGGUUGGGGUUAGGGUUAGGGCUAGGGUUGAAGUUAGGGUUCAGGUUGAGGCUAGGGUUUAUGUUUGGGUUGGGGCUAGGGUUAGGGUUGGGGUUGGAACCCUACCUCCAACCCUAACAAUAACCCUAACCCUACCCCCAACCCAAACCCUAGCCUCAACCCCAACCCUAGCCAUGUUCUACAGAGGCUUAGGAAGUGAAGUUCAAGAUGUCUUUUCAAAAUAAAACUUGAGCUUUUGCAAUUUGAAGUUACACAUUAAUUUAACACACAGUUAAUGCAGUAAAACUGAUGCAGUUUGGUAACACUUACACGAUAAAUGACUGCUGAAGGUUUUCUGUUCAUAAGGCUAUAUAGGUUAUAACCUGGGUGUGGUAAAUACUUGAUUCUGAUUGGCUGAAACUCCAUAAGUCAGACGUGAACCCGAUCAAACACGCUUUGCUAAAUUAAUCUGCAGAACUUUGACCUCUGCCUGUUGACACUGUGGCAAAACCUUAAUUUAAGUCUCAUGUUUGGUCUUGAGAGUCUGGAAAUAAACAAAUGUAGUGGUUAGGGAUGUGAGGGCAGCCUGAGGAGCCAUGUCUGAAAGAGGAACGGGAAGCAGCUUCAUGUCCUGCAAUCCGUGCACCUGCAGCAGAGCUGGUGUGAGCAUCUCUAAACCGGGGAUCUUUAUAAAGUAACUUAAAGCUCUAAUGGGGAGUUUUUCCUGAAUCUGACUGAAAUCAAGAUUGAUGUUGAAUGCAAACAAGACCAUCAAAGAUAAGAUUAACAUUUUCUUUGUAUUGGUGUUGAUGCAAUAAAGAAUAUAAUCAGGGUGGAAUAAGACCCCGUUUGGGUUGGGGCUAGGGUUAGGGUUGGGGUUGGAACCCUACCUCCAACCCUAACAAUAACCCUAACCCUACCCCCAACCCAAACCCAAACCCUAGCCUCAACCCCAACCCUAGCUUCUACCCUAACCCUAGCCUAAACCUUAACCUUAGCCCCAAUCCUAACCCUAGCCCUAACCCUUGCCCCAACCUAACUAGGCUUGGGGCUAAAGGGUUAGGGAAAAGGUUGAGGUUAGGGUUGAGGUUAGGGUUAGUGUUGGGGUUAGGGUUAGGGUUAGUGUUAGGAUUAGGGUUGGGCUGGUGUUAGGGUUAGUGUUGGGGUUAGGGUUAGGGUUGAGGCUAGGGUUGGGUUAGGGUUAGUGUUAGGAUUAGGGUUGGGCUGGGGUUAGUGUUGGGGCUAGGGUUAGGGUUAAUACGUUCAGAAGUGCAAUAAUGUUCUGUAAUGUUCUGGUUGAUGUACAGAGCCGACAGCCUGCGUUUGGCUUGAGCGUGUGAUGAAGUUUCCAGCUUUUCUAACCAAUCAGAAGCGAAGGAGGCGGGACUUUUCCCCACCGUCCUACAAAAAAAAAUAAUGCCCCCAGGACAGAACCCUGUGGAACACCAGAUAUGACCUGAGAAAGAUUUGAACAUUUAGAGUAAACACUUUAAUUUUUCAAGCAUUUGUUUAUUAUUUUUCUUUAAUACAAAUAUAACUUGAAACACAGUUUUAAAAUCUGUUUGUUUUUACACCAAUUCUGAUGCUUCAUCAUCUUCCUUUGCUUAAAUUCUGUGGUAGUUUUAUUAGAAACGUUGACACCGUUGGUUUCAGGCCGUUUAAUCAUUUAAGGAAAUGUUAAAUCGCACUUUCAAUGUCCAUGAAAAUCAUCUGUCAUUUUAGAAAUGGUCUCAAUUGGUGACCACACAUCUCUUCACUUUUAAGCCCUCUGUAGAACAAGCCGAACACACACAGACCGGCCUGUUCAAACAGAAACAAAGACAUACUAACGGCUCACAGAGGAGCAGAUAUAAAGACAGCCGACGGGGGGAAAGACAGAGGGAUGAAAGCGGCUUGCAAAAACCCUCUCUAAGCGUUUCCCUGCAUGUGAAGUCAGUCGCUCAGCCUUCUGGGAUACGAUGCUGCCUGUUUGAUGCCUUUGAGACUCUGAGACGGCCUCAUCCAUAUUACAUCGUCUUUACCAUGAGCUGUGAUCGCUCCUCUUAGAGAUGCAGAGUGGCAUUAGGGACAGGGGGAGGAAGAAAGGGAAAAAGAUGAGGAAGGAGAUGAUGGAGGGAGGAGCAUAAUAAAGAAAAGAGAAGGGGGAAAAAUACCAAAUGAAGAGCUGAUUGAAAGACAGAAAAUAGAGGUUUUGAUUUUAAAUAGCACACCCUCAUCCUUGAGUUAUCUUUCCCUAACCAAGAGAGAGAGUGAGAGCUUUGUCCACAGGGGGCGCUAACAUUGACACAAACUAAAAGUUCCUCACAGGAGCUUUAAUAUCUGCAUUAAAGGAGUUACCUUUUUAACCUUCACCAGACCCCCAUUUUUACAGCUUUAGAUGAAUAAUUUCCCUCAGCCAGGUAACUAAUAGACUGCAUAUGUAGGAACACUUUAAACGAGAUUUACUCCUCCAACAUAAACAUUGUCAUCCAUCACAUUUCAUUGUGCAUAUUCAGAUAUUUUUUGGGAGUCUCAGCUUCAUUGAAAAAAGUUAUUUACACAGAGGCUUUCCUAAGACAGAAACCAAUUUUCUGCAAUAAAUGGGUCUCAAAUCUGCUGAAAUUACAUCAUAAUAUAAAUUUAGAAAAAGGAUCUUUUCUUUUGAACGUUUUCCUCCAGUCUUGUCUUGGCUCUUGCCCCCCCCAGAUUGUUGUAUCACAGUGUUCUGGAGUGAACUCACAUGAGACGAGGGUUGAGGGUGACAGAAAGCUGGAGGGAGGGGUAGAGAGGGUGGAGUGUGUGAGGUGGGGGGUGAUGGGUUCUUCAGUAGUUGUGUGAUCUCAGCCACCAGUUCCACAGCUGGUGCACCAGCAGGCAGCCCAGCCUGGCCAUAUGCUGCCUGGGCUGCUCCCAUUGCUCCCAUUAUCCUCAGUUGAGAACCACCCCCCACCCUCACCCCGCCUCACCCCAACCCCCAA
This 7949-nucleotide long non-coding RNA is filed under the name Xyrichtys novacula (pearly razorfish). Lineage: Eukaryota; Metazoa; Chordata; Actinopteri; Labriformes; Labridae. The record is from RNAcentral.